GUGUCAGCAGCCGCGGUAAUACAGAGGGCUCGAGCGUUAAUCGGAAUCACUGGGCUUAAAGCGUGCGUAGGCGGAUCUUCAGGCUUGUUGUGAAAUCCCACGGCUCAACCGUGGAAUUGCGAUGAGAACCGGAGAUCUUGAGUCAGGUAGAGGCGGGUGGAACGAUAGGUGGAGCGGUGAAAUGCGUAGAUAUCUAUCGGAACGCCAAAGGAGAAGUCAGCCCGCUGGGCCUGUUCUGACGCUGAGGCACGAAAGCGUGGGUAGCAAACGGGAUUAGAUACCCCGGUAGUCCACGCCGUAAACGAUGCGCACUAGACUGAGGGAGCUUGACGCUUUCUCAGUCGUAGCAAAAGUGCUAAGUGCGCCGCCUGGGGAGUACGGUCGCAAGAUUAAAACUUAAAGGAAUUGACGGGG
Molecule: ribosomal RNA, 414 nt
Filed under: uncultured prokaryote
Description: bacterial SSU rRNA
Rfam family: Bacterial small subunit ribosomal RNA
Source: RNAcentral